This 258-nucleotide long non-coding RNA is filed under the name Mytilus galloprovincialis (Mediterranean mussel). The record is from RNAcentral. Lineage: Eukaryota; Metazoa; Mollusca; Bivalvia; Mytilida; Mytilidae.
AUCAGACAGUUCAUUCAAAAAAUACACAAUGGCAUCAGUUCAUUCAAUUAACAUACGAUCUACAAAAGAAAAGCGCAUAAUUAAAAUAUGAACUCUACAUAUAUAUAUAAGGCAUGAACUGUCAUACUGAAGAUUAAUCUUCCUAUACACAAAUACACUACUCGUUAGAUGGUCUCCACCCUUGUCGAUAACUUUUCUCGUUCACGCACGACUUUAAAUACUAACGGAACUUCUUACUCUAUUGUUAUUACAAUUAGC